UGGGGAAUAUUGCGCAAUGGGCGAAAGCCUGACGCAGCGACGCCGCGUGAGGGAUGAAGGUUUUCGGAUCGUAAACCUCUGUCAGAAGGGAAGAAACCGCACUGUGCUAAUCAGCAGUGCCUUGACGGUACCUUCAAAGGAAGCACCGGCUAACUCCGUGCCAGCAGGCGCGGUAAUACGGAGGGUGCAAGCGUUAAUCGGAAUUACUGGGCGUAAAGCGCACGUAGGCUGCUUUUUAAGUCAGGGGUGAAAUCCCACGGCUCAAACGUGGAACUGCCGUUGAUACUGCUUAGCUUGAAUCCGGGAGAGGGUGGCGGAAUUCCAGGGGGAGGAGUGAAAUCCGUAGAUAUCUGGAGGAACAUCAGUGGCGAAGGCGGCCACCUGGACCGGUAUUGACGCUGAGGUGGGAAAGCGUGGGGAGCAAACAGG
RNAcentral lists this ribosomal RNA (429 nucleotides) under Fusobacteriota bacterium. RNAcentral describes it as "Fusobacteria bacterium partial 16S ribosomal RNA". It matches the Rfam family "Bacterial small subunit ribosomal RNA", at positions 355 to 776 of the family's 1533-position model. The record is from RNAcentral. Lineage: Bacteria; Fusobacteriati; Fusobacteriota.